GGGGAGGCAGCAGUGGGGAAUAUUGCGCAAUGGGGGAAACCCUGACGCAGCAACGCCGCGUGGAGGAAGAAGGUCUUCGGAUUGUAAACUCCUGUCUUCAGGGACGAAUAAUGACGGUACCUGAGGAGGAAGCCACGGCUAACUACGUGCCAGCAGCCGCGGUAAUACGUAGGUGGCAAGCGUUGUCCGGAAUUAUUGGGCGUAAAGGGCGCGUAGGCGGCACCCUAAGUCAGAUGUGAAAUCCCGGGGCUUAACUCCGGACGUGCAUUUGAAACUGGGGAGCUUGAGUGCAGGAGAGGUAAGUGGAAUUCCUAGUGUAGCGGUGAAAUGCGUAGAUAUUAGGAGGAACACCAGUGGCGAAGGCGACUUACUGGACUGUAACUGACGCUGAGGCGCGAAAGCGUGGGGAGCAAACAGGAUUAGAUACCCCGGUAGC
RNAcentral lists this ribosomal RNA (436 nucleotides) under uncultured bacterium. RNAcentral describes it as "bacterial SSU rRNA". It matches the Rfam family "Bacterial small subunit ribosomal RNA", at positions 342 to 794 of the family's 1533-position model. The record is from RNAcentral.